GUCCACGCUGUAAACGAUGGAUACUAGCUGUUUGGGUUAAACUGAGUGGUUAAGCGAAAGUGAUAAGUAUCCCACCUGGGGAGUACGUUCGCAAGAAUGAAACUCAAAGGAAUUGACGGGGGCCCGCACAAGCGGUGGAGCAUGUGGUUUAAUUCGAUGAUACGCGAGGAACCUUACCAAGGCUUAAAUGUAGAUUGACGUAUUUGGAAACAGGUAUUUCUUCGGACAAUUUACAAGGUGCUGCAUGGUUGUCGU
Molecule: ribosomal RNA, 255 nt
Filed under: uncultured bacterium
Lineage: Bacteria
Description: partial 16S ribosomal RNA
Rfam family: Bacterial small subunit ribosomal RNA
Source: RNAcentral